RNAcentral lists this non-coding RNA (148 nucleotides) under Pan troglodytes (chimpanzee). The record is from Rfam by way of RNAcentral. Lineage: Eukaryota; Metazoa; Chordata; Mammalia; Primates; Hominidae.
GCCGGGCGUGGUGGCGCGCACCUGUAAUCCCAGCUACUUGGGAGGCUGAGGCAGGAGAAUCACUUGAACCCGGGAGGCGGAGGUUGCAGUGAGCCGAGAUUGUGUCAUUGCACUCCAGCCUGGGCGACAGAGUGAGACUCUGUCUCAA